GAUGAACGCUGGCGGCGUGCCUAAUACAUGCAAGUCGAGCGAAUGGAUUAAGAGCUUGCUCUUAUGAAGUUAGCGGCGGACGGGUGAGUAACACGUGGGUAACCUGCCCAUAAGACUGGGAUAACUCCGGGAAACCGGGGCUAAUACCGGAUAACAUUUUGAACCGCAUGGUUCGAAAUUGAAAGGCGGCUUCGGCUGUCACUUAUGGAUGGACCCGCGUCGCAUUAGCUAGUUGGUGAGGUAACGGCUCACCAAGGCAACGAUGCGUAGCCGACCUGGGAGGGUGAUCGGCCAAACUGGGACUGAGACACGGCCCAGACUCCUACGGGAGGCAGCAGUAGGGAAUCUUCCGCAAUGGACGAAAGUCUGACGGAGCAACGCCGCGUGAGUGAUGAAGGCUUUCGGGUCGUAAAAUUCUGUUGUUAGGGAAGAACAAGUGCUAGUUGAAUAAGCUGGCACCUUGACGGUACCUAACCAGAAGGCCACGGCUAACUACGUGCCAGCCGCCGCCGUAA
Molecule: ribosomal RNA, 515 nt
Filed under: uncultured bacterium
Lineage: Bacteria
Description: partial 16S ribosomal RNA
Rfam family: Bacterial small subunit ribosomal RNA
Source: RNAcentral